Molecule: ribosomal RNA, 305 nt
Filed under: uncultured bacterium
Lineage: Bacteria
Description: bacterial SSU rRNA
Rfam family: Bacterial small subunit ribosomal RNA
Source: RNAcentral
CCUACGGGGGGCAGCAGUGAGGAAUAUUGGUCAAUGGGCGGAAGCCUGAACCAGCCAAGUCGCGUGAGGGAUUAAGGCCCUAUGGGUUGUAAACCUCUUUUGUCAGGGAGCAAGGCCUGUCACGUGCGGGCGGAUGGAGAGUACCCGAAGAAAAAGCAUCGGCUAACUCCGUGCCAGCAGCCGCGGUAAUACGGAGGAUGCGAGCGUUAUCCGGAUUUAUUGGGUUUAAAGGGUGCGCAGGCGGGCCAUUAAGUCAGCGGUAAAAUUGCGGGGCUCAACCCCCUCCAGCCGUUUAAACUGGGGGC